ACGCGCGACGGAGUGUUAGCGUUAACGUAAGUUUUUUUUAAUUUGUGGAAAGAAUCGAGCACCUAGUAGCUCAAAAUAUGGGAAGUAUGGCCAGCAAAAUUACGAGGAUACUCUUCUAAAGUAGGUUGAAGAGACUGGCAGCGAUAAUAGCAAAAUAGUGACAUAGAAUCCGAAUGUGGCAAAAAUUUUGCCAUAGAGAGCGAUCAUGAUUAUGAAUUCGAAUUAUAAGAUGAUGAAAAAAUGGAUGUGAACGAUCAGUA
Long non-coding RNA from Sitophilus oryzae (rice weevil), 260 nucleotides. RefSeq lists it as uncharacterized. NCBI's taxonomy places the organism in Eukaryota, Metazoa, Arthropoda, Insecta, Coleoptera, Curculionidae. The transcript has 2 exons. The record is from RefSeq and is a predicted model, not a curated record.